AGUGGUGGCUUUCCAGAAAAGAUAUUUAAGAUGCACAAUACGAAUGGACUUGGUUGUGUUACAUUAAUACACAUAUCAAAGGAUUGGCACAAAGAAAACUGGCAAGAACCUGAGGCUGAUUAAGUUGGAUGUAAGAAUUUUCGGAUUUUAUCUGGGAACACAAUUAAGAAAACUCUGAACAAAGUUGUUCAAGUAAAAAUUUUGGAGAAAGUCUAUUUCUACUCACAUCUAAACGCAUCUAAUCAUUCAAUUAAAGAUUUUCAAUAAGUCUA
Long non-coding RNA from Xenia sp. Carnegie-2017, 272 nucleotides. RefSeq lists it as uncharacterized. NCBI's taxonomy places the organism in Eukaryota, Metazoa, Cnidaria, Anthozoa, Malacalcyonacea, Xeniidae. The record is from RefSeq and is a predicted model, not a curated record. The transcript has 2 exons.